GGAUGUUUUUGGAAAGGAAAAAAUGAACAAGGUUUCCGUAGGUGAACCUGCGGAAGGAUCAUUACUGAGUGAGGGCCCUCUGGGUCCAACCUCCCACCCGUGUUUAUUGUACCUUGUUGCUUCGGUGCGCCCGCCUCACGGCCGCCGGGGGGCUUCUGCCCCCGGGUCCGCGCGCACCGGAGACACUAUUGAACUCUGUCUGAAGAUUGCAGUCUGAGCAUAAACUAAAUAAGUUAAAACUUUCAACAACGGAUCUCUUGGUUCCGGCAUCGAUGAAGAACGCAGCGAAAUGCGAUAACUAAUGUGAAUUGCAGAAUUCAGUGAAUCAUCGAGUCUUUGAACGCACAUUGCGCCCCCUGGUAUUCCGGGGGGCAUGCCUGUCCGAGCGUCAUUGCUGCCCUCAAGCACGGCUUGUGUGUUGGGCUCCGUCCCCCCGGGGACGGGUCCGAAAGGCAGCGGCGGCACCGAGUCCGGUCCUCGAGCGUAUGGGGCUUUGUCACCCGCUCUGUAGGCCCGGCCGGCGCCAGCCGACAACCAAUCAUCCUUUUUUCAGGUUGACCUCGGAUCAGGUAGGGAUACCCGCUGAACUUAAGCAUAUCAAUAAGCGGAGGAAAAGAAACCAACAGGGAUUACCUCAGUAACGGCGAGUGAAGCGGUAAGAGCUCAAAUUUGAAAGCUGGCUCCUUCGGGGUCCGCAUUGUAAUUUGCAGAGGAUGUUUCGGGAGCAGCCCCCAUCUAAGUGUCCUGGAACGGACCGUCAUAGAGGGUGAGAAUCCCGUAUGGGAUGGGGUGUCUGCGCCCAUGUGAAACUCCUUCGACGAGUCGAGUUGUUUGGGAAUGCAGCUCUAAAUGGGUGGUAAAUUUCAUCUAAAGCUAAAUAUUGGCCGGAGACCGAUAGCGCACAAGUAGAGUGAUCGAAAGAUGAAAAGCACUUUGAAAAGAGAGUUAAAAAGCACGUGAAAUUGUUGAAAGGGAAGCGCUUGCGAUCAGACUCGCCUUGGGGGUUCAGCCGGCAUUCGUGCCGGUGUACUUCCCCCAGGGCGGGCCAGCGUCGGUUUGGGUGGCCGGUCAAAGGCCCUUGGAAUGUAACGCCUCUCGGGGCGUCUUAUAGCCAAGGGGCCAUGCGGCCUACCUGGACCGAGGAACGCGCUUCCGCUCGGAACCUGGGAUAAUGGUCGUAAACGACCCGCCUUGAAAACCG
RNAcentral lists this small RNA (1201 nucleotides) under Penicillium glabrum. RNAcentral's name for it is "eukaryotic LSU rRNA". The stretch from base 556 to 1201 matches the Rfam family "Eukaryotic large subunit ribosomal RNA", at positions 1 to 663 of the family's 3401-position model. Lineage: Eukaryota; Fungi; Ascomycota; Eurotiomycetes; Eurotiales; Aspergillaceae. The record is from RNAcentral.